This 229-nucleotide ribosomal RNA is filed under the name uncultured bacterium. Its description in RNAcentral is "partial 16S ribosomal RNA". It matches the Rfam family "Bacterial small subunit ribosomal RNA", at positions 568 to 796 of the family's 1533-position model. The record is from RNAcentral.
UCCGUAGGCGGUCUUUUAAGUCAGUGGUGAGAUCCCAGAGCUCAACUCUGGAACUGCCAUUGAAACUGAAAGACUUGAAUAUGGUUGAGGUAGGCGGAAUACGUUAUGUAGCGGUGAAAUGCAUAGAUAUAACGUAGAACACCAAUUGCGAAGGCAGCUUACUAAACCAUUAUUGACGCUGAUGGACGAAAGCGUGGGGAGCGAACAGGAUUAGAUACCCUGGUAGUCC